RNAcentral lists this long non-coding RNA (314 nucleotides) under Musa acuminata (dwarf banana). RNAcentral describes it as "long non-coding RNA (MACU_LNC008462)". The record is from RNAcentral. Lineage: Eukaryota; Viridiplantae; Streptophyta; Magnoliopsida; Zingiberales; Musaceae.
GGUGAUAAAGGGUAGUCCUCUCUGCCCUCUAUUUAAACUGUUAGUUAUGUUUAUUCUUAUUUAGAAUUGCAGAGGUGAUAGAAGGCACCCAAUUACUAACUAUCAUUCUCAUGUUUCUCGAAGAUACAAAUUGGAUCCGAUCCUCCUUCAAAGACCCAUGUUGUUGUGACGAAGCUUGUAGUUGUGAAUAGAUGGUUUGGUAGAACUUGGAGCUUCUUUUCCCAAGACUCUGUCGGGGCCUCAAGAGGUAUUAUGCUUACUUGGAAAAUGAAUUUUGCUAUUAUGUAAGUGAUAUCUAAACAUCCUUGUCCGGC